UGGGGAAUCUUGCGCAAUGGCCGAAAGGCUGACGCAGCGACGCCGCGUGGGGGAUGAAGGCCUUCGGGUUGUAAACCCCUGUUGCUCGGGACGAACAACACCAUUCGUGGUGUCUGACGGUACCGGGUGAGGAAGCACCGGCUAACUCUGUGCCAGCAGCCGCGGUAAUACAGAGGGUGCGAGCGUUGUCCGGAAUCACUGGGCGUAAAGGGCGCGUAGGCGGUCUGGUAAGCGUGUGGUGAAAGCUCGGGGCUCAACCCCGAGUCGGCCGUGCGAACUGCUGGACUUGAGCAUGUCAGAGGCAGGCGGAAUUCCGGGUGUAGCGGUGGAAUGCGUAGAGAUCCGGAAGAACACCGGUGGCGAAGGCGGCCUGCUGGGACAUGGC
This 385-nucleotide ribosomal RNA is filed under the name uncultured bacterium. RNAcentral's name for it is "bacterial SSU rRNA". It matches the Rfam family "Bacterial small subunit ribosomal RNA", at positions 355 to 740 of the family's 1533-position model. The record is from RNAcentral.